UCUUCGACUAUCAUUAAGUCGAAGAACAGCCUAUGCAUACCCUCAACUCUAACUACAACCAAUCAAAUUCACACAUCUGCAGGGUGAAGGAUACAGUUCUUUGUUUGAAGCAAAGCAGCAGAUGCAGAGAGCAUCCAGAUUCUUUUUCUCAAGUAAUAUACUUAUACUCCACUUUCAGGCAAUAUAUAUAUAUAUUUGAUUAUUAAAUAUCCCUCUGGAAAAUAAUUUCUGGGUUUUAUAAGUUUCCAAAUAGGUUAAAAAAUAAAGAUUUAUCUUUACACAGGGCAAGCUGAAGGGAAAGAAUCGAAUAGUUUUGUAAUGAAAGUGGAU
Molecule: long non-coding RNA, 330 nt
Filed under: Manihot esculenta (cassava)
Lineage: Eukaryota; Viridiplantae; Streptophyta; Magnoliopsida; Malpighiales; Euphorbiaceae
Description: long non-coding RNA (MESC_LNC010702)
Source: RNAcentral